This 568-nucleotide ribosomal RNA is filed under the name uncultured bacterium. RNAcentral's name for it is "partial 16S ribosomal RNA". It matches the Rfam family "Bacterial small subunit ribosomal RNA", at positions 355 to 914 of the family's 1533-position model. The record is from RNAcentral.
UGGGGAAUUUUGGACAAUGGGCGAAAGCCUGAUCCAGCAAUGCCGCGUGUGUGAAGAAGGCCUUCGGGUUGUAAAGCACUUUUGUCCGGAAAGAAAUCCUUGGCUCUAAUACAGUCGGGGGAUGACGGUACCGGAAGAAUAAGCACCGGCUAACUACGUGCCAGCAGCCGCGGUAAUACGUAGGGUGCAAGCGUUAAUCGGAAUUACUGGGCGUAAAGCGUGCGCAGGCGGUUUGCUAAGGCCGAUGUGAAAUCCCCGGGCUCAACCUGGGAACUGCAUUGGUGACUGGCAGGCUAGAGUAUGGCAGAGGGGGGUAGAAUUCCACGUGUAGCAGUGAAAUGCGUAGAGAUGUGGAGGAAUACCGAUGGCGAAGGCAGCCCCCUGGGCCAAGUACUGACGCUCAUGCACGAAAGCGUGGGGAGCAAACAGGAUUAGAUACCCUGGUAGUCCACGCCCUAAAACGAUGUCAACUAGUUGUUGGGGAUUCAUUUCCUUAGUAACGUAGCUAACGCGUGAAGUUGACCGCCUGGGGAGUACGGUCGCAAGAUUAAAACUCAAAUGAAUUGAC